This 948-nucleotide long non-coding RNA is filed under the name Helianthus annuus (common sunflower). RNAcentral describes it as "hypothetical non coding rna". The record is from RNAcentral. Lineage: Eukaryota; Viridiplantae; Streptophyta; Magnoliopsida; Asterales; Asteraceae.
UUCUUUUUUUUUUUUUUUUUUGUCUUUCCUCUCUCUCUGUUUCACGAAGAACAACAAAAUUAUCAGAUUUUCAAUCCCUCUUUUAUCAAACCCUCACACACAUUCUCCUAAACUUAGAUCACAAAUAUUAGAUACAGAUAAUAAUGGCUGGUAAAGGUGAAGGUCCGACGAUUGGAAUCGAUGUAGGUACUACCUAUUUGUGUUGACCGGAACGGAGAUGGUGGAAGAAAGUGAGGGAGUUGACGGAGUCCGUAGACGGCGGUCGGUGGCGACGGUGGUUACGUCGGCUGAGGCGGUGGUUACGAUGGUGGUUAAAAGGCAGUGUACGGUGGUUUCGGGUAUGUGCGGUGGCGCGUGAGAGUAACGUCACCGCCGUUGAUGGAAUAUGAGUCGUUGGUUAAGAGUACCGAGACGGUUAUUGCAGCGAGUAGGAGGGUGUGGAAGAUGUUUUAGCUCCGGUGACGGUGUAACAGCGGGGGUGAACGACGGCGGACGGAUGUAGUGGUGGGUUGAACGGCAGCGAAUGACCGGUGAACGGAGACGGAGAGUGUGGAGAGGAGACGGCGGAUGUUUGCUGGUGGGUUUGGGUGUACGGUGGAGCUCGGUUGAAGAUGUUGAUGAUAACAGAUUAAAAUUUUGAUGUUAGAUGUAAAAUGUAGUUGAUGUUCAACUGUUUGAUGAAGCUGAUGUCUGUUGACGCUGGCCGGAAAUAGUGGUGGUUUUGGUUGAAGUCAGUUCACCGGAUACGUGGCGGCGCCGGAAUAACUUGCCGGAACCCUAAAUUAUGGCUGGAAGUUUGCAGGAGAAAGAAGAUGUUGUCCCGGCAACAGUGGAGGUCGGAAAUAGAUCGUCGGAAAGGCGGCGCCGGAGAAUAUUGCCAGAAACCCUAAUCUGUUAAAAGAGAUUCAAUUUUUUUUUUUUAAUAUACUUCUGUUUCUACUCUUUCUU